AUUGUGGUCCAAAGUAUUCACAUUGAAAUCCCAAAAAGUCACAUUUUAUUGAAUUACCCUUUUCAUGGUAAACAUUUUAUUUGUUUGCAGUUUGCACAUAUUGGUCUAUGAUCAAUUAAGUGAUUAUUGAGCCUUUCACCACAAAGGCUCAAUAAUCACUUCACUACUUUUAUCUUCUUUUAUUUACACCCGAUAUUGGCA
Pelobates cultripes (western spadefoot toad) is the source of this 201-nucleotide non-coding RNA. The record is from the annotation of a GenBank genome assembly. Lineage: Eukaryota; Metazoa; Chordata; Amphibia; Anura; Pelobatidae.